Long non-coding RNA from Manis pentadactyla (Chinese pangolin), 1988 nucleotides. RefSeq lists it as uncharacterized. Lineage: Eukaryota; Metazoa; Chordata; Mammalia; Pholidota; Manidae. The transcript has 2 exons. The record is from RefSeq and is a predicted model, not a curated record.
GGACUGGAAAAAGCUAACUAUGAGCCCAAAGUGGUGAUUCUGCUAAAGACGCUUAAAAUACCUAUUAUAAAACUUCUAACAAACUUUAAACUUUGCAUGUCUUGGAGAUCUGACCAAAGGUUUUCUCUCUUUUAUAUUUAUAUGAAAUAAAUAAACAUAUUUCUCAUUCUAGAUCAGGAUAGUAGUAUAAAAUUCGAGGAUAUUUAUCCAAAUUAUUGAAUAAAAUCUUUGUUUCCGUAUUUCCAUAAUCACCCAAAAAUAUUGGCCACAACUCCAUUACUAUUUCCAUUUCCACCCAAACAUCUUUUCAGUGUGGAACAACCUCUUUUUUAAUAGUCAGGGACUGAAUUCAAAGAUUUUUCUAGAAAGAGCAUCCUUCAGAAGUCAGUUGUGUCUUGACAUCUUGACAGCUGAGAACCGCGCCAGUCCCUCAGUGCCGGAUGUCUGUCUGAGCAGCAGUUGGAGCCCUCUGGUGGGGCCAGGCAUGCUCGGGCCCUUCUGCUAGUGAUGUGUGAAGACACAGGGUGACCCCUUGCCCUCCCAUCUUCCCUGGACCAGGCAGGGCAAGCAGAGCUCAGAUUCACACCCCACUUACUAGGAACAAAGGCAGCAGAAUGUGCAGCAGCACAACUAGACGCCCUGACCCAUUCUGUUCCAGUUCCAGGGCUGAUGCCAACGGUGUGCCAGACUAUUCACAAGCUCAUUGCAUCUGCAGCUAAGGGGCUGCUGGACAGAGGUCCCAGGGCAGCCAGUGCCAAACAGUAUUGCACGUAGUUGGGAUGGAAAUACACUCAUGCAUGGAGCACAGCCAGUUAUUUGAAACAAGAUAACAUGAAAACAAAGUCUGGCCUACUCCCAAAGUUUGGAGAGCAUCUCUGCAGCCUUUUCCGGUCCCAAGGAGUUGUGUUUACAACAUCCUCUAUGCCUGCCUCUCAGCUGUGAUGCUCCAAACCAGUCAAGCCUCAUCCAAACCACUGCUGAGGCCCAUGUCCAGGUGACAGAGUGUAAGUGGCCUUCCUUCAGGACUAGCCUGACAGUCCUAUUCAGACUCUCCACUGAACAAUGCAAGACCGCUCUCCCCCAGCACCACUUUACCUGGCAUGGGAAAUGGAGGGGGCAGCCAGCUUAUUUGCUCGCUCACUGCUUUGAAGCUUUGUCCUCAACUCAUUCAUUUCUGCAUCUUUAAAGUGAAGUUCAGACUGCAGUGACUGGAGCUGGAAGGCAGAAACAACACACCUGUAGUGUACCUGUCACAGACACAGAAACAUCUCUGGGCUUCGGAAUCUCAAGCUGGUGAAGGAGAAACAAUGAGAAACGAGUAUGGAAGUUGGUUGUGGCAUAAAUGUCCUAAAAGACCAAGUGUCAGCGUCCUUCCUGAGAGGCAGCAUGGUAUUCUAGAGAGACUUUUGCACGCAACUAUUAUGAGGUAGCCAGUGAGGUUCAGGACCACAGACUCAGCCUCUCUGAAACAGUCAGAGUGACGAAUGUCAGACGCCUGGUGCAGAGCCUUUGCAUGCCACGCCCCACAGGAACGCACUGGCCUCUUCGUGAACUCAGUGGCACCCAAUUUCAGGUCUCCUCUAAAGCCUGGGAAGCAUGUCUGGAAGUUUUACCAAGACCCCGUGCAGGUGGGGAGAUGGUGCCACUCUGUUCUUGUGGCCUAGAGCCAGCAGCCAGGCAUAGCACUGGAGCCCGCUGGCACAUGGAGACCCUUCGGGUGAUUUCCUGGAGCAGCUAGGGGAACGAGCCAUAGAGCCAGGUCAUUACCCUGAGGUCACCGCUUGUAUGUGAUAAAGCCUGGGUUCAGUCUCUGCUCUGAUGGAGUUUUUGACAUCCCAUCUAAUCUGGGGACCUUAUGAAUAUCUGUAAAAGACAGUUCCAAUAGACUCUUCAGGACCCAAUGUAUUCCCACUUUGGCCAACAAUGUUGAAAAGCAUCACCCUUGAAAACAAAUUAGAGAAUCUAGUAAGCAGUAUUUUCUAAUCUAA